Small nuclear RNA from Camelus dromedarius (Arabian camel), 103 nucleotides. The record is from Ensembl. NCBI's taxonomy places the organism in Eukaryota, Metazoa, Chordata, Mammalia, Artiodactyla, Camelidae.
UUACUUCGGCAGCACAUAUACUACAACUGGAACGAUAAAGAGAAAAUUAGUAUGACCCCUGGGCGGGGAUGACAUGCAAAUCUGUGAAGCAUUCCAUGUUUUU